GUACAUCUCUAUCAAUUUUAUAGACUAUGUAUAUUUUUUUGUUAUAUACAUCCAUUGGUAGAUAAUAUAUGUUUAUUUCAUGAAUUUUCAUAUUCAAGAACACAGUAGCGACGCUUGGUGUGUGGUUCUAGUAGGGGCAUCAUUUUGGAGAAGUACAUAUAUAUGCACAAUAAAAAGUCAAAAGUAUAGAUAUUUUGGGAUCA
This 203-nucleotide long non-coding RNA is filed under the name Elaeis guineensis (African oil palm). RNAcentral describes it as "long non-coding RNA (EGUI_LNC008483)". The record is from RNAcentral. Lineage: Eukaryota; Viridiplantae; Streptophyta; Magnoliopsida; Arecales; Arecaceae.